RNAcentral lists this ribosomal RNA (253 nucleotides) under uncultured bacterium. RNAcentral's name for it is "partial 16S ribosomal RNA". It matches the Rfam family "Bacterial small subunit ribosomal RNA", at positions 524 to 776 of the family's 1533-position model. The record is from RNAcentral.
UACGGGGGGGGCAAGCGUUGUUCGGAAUUACUGGGCGUAAAGGGCUCGUAGGCGGCCAACUAAGUCAGACGUGAAAUCCCUCGGCUUAACCGGGGAACUGCGUCUGAUACUGGAUGGCUCGAGUUUGGGAGAGGGAUGCGGAAUUCCAGGUGUAGCGGUGAAAUGCGUAGAUAUCGGGAGGAACACCAGUGGCGAAGGCGAUCAUCUGGGGUUGUUCUGACGCUGAGGAGCGAAAGCUAGGGGAGCAAACGGG